Molecule: long non-coding RNA, 465 nt
Filed under: Linum usitatissimum (flax)
Lineage: Eukaryota; Viridiplantae; Streptophyta; Magnoliopsida; Malpighiales; Linaceae
Description: long non-coding RNA (LUSI_LNC001808)
Source: RNAcentral
AAGUCAUGAAAAGUCUGUGCUCAAUUGCUCCGACUCCUUCUUUCGCCGUGCAGGGUUGUGAAUUGAGGCUUGAAUGAAUGAAUGAAUGCACUGCUUUUUUAUAUGUUAGGUUUCAUUUGCUUCCGGAUUUUGACGAAGGAAAACGGAGCUGUAGACGGAAAUUAGAGCGUCACAACAAUAGGAGGCGUAGAAAGUCACUUAAUAGUAAUGUUUCUACGAAUGAAGGGACUAUCAUGGAUAAUUUGCAAGCUGAAGAUGCUGCUUGCAAUGGCGAGACUGAAAAAGGUUAGGUUAGGCUAGGUUGAGUGAUGUUUUGAAGAAUGGAAUUGGACUUGAGUGCUGAUGGUUAUGUGUAUUGACUGUUCGUGCAGACGGUUUAUCCUUACAGAUUGUGGGGAAGGAAGCUCUUGUUGUGAUUGAAGAUGGGCCUGGAUUCCAGUCUGAAUCCCAGAAGGUGAACAGCGA